This 467-nucleotide ribosomal RNA is filed under the name uncultured bacterium. RNAcentral's name for it is "partial 16S ribosomal RNA". It matches the Rfam family "Bacterial small subunit ribosomal RNA", at positions 28 to 506 of the family's 1533-position model. The record is from RNAcentral.
GACGAACGCUGGCGGCGUGCUUAACACAUGCAAGUCGAACGGAAAGGCCCUGCUUUUGUGGGGUGCUCGAGUGGCGAACGGGUGAGUAACACGUGAGUAACCUGCCCUUGACUUUGGGAUAACUUCAGGAAACUGGGGCUAAUACCGGAUAGGAGCUCCUGCUGCAUGGUGGGGGUUGGAAAGUUUCGGCGGUUGGGUAUGGACUCGCGGCUUAUCAGCUUGUUGGUGGGGUAGUGGCUUACCAAGGCUUUGACGGGUAGCCGGCCUGAGAGGGUGACCGGCCACAUUGGGACUGAGAUACGGCCCAGACUCCUACGGGAGGCAGCAGUGGGGAAUAUUGCACAAUGGGCGGAAGCCUGAUGCAGCAACGCCGCGUGCGGGAUGACGGCCUUCGGGUUGUAAACCGAUUUCGCCUGUGACGAAGCGUGAGUGACGGUAAUGGGUAAAGAAGCACCGGCUAACUACGU